UACGAAGGGGGCUAGCGUUGCUCGGAAUUACUGGGCGUAAAGGGCGCGUAGGCGGACAGUUUAGUCAGAGGUGAAAGCCCAGGGCUCAACCUUGGAAUUGCCUUUGAUACUGGCUGUCUUGAGUUCGGGAGAGGUGAGUGGAAUGCCGAGUGUAGAGGUGAAAUUCGUAGAUAUUCGGCGGAACACCAGUGGCGAAGGCGGAUCUCUGGGCCUUACCUGACGCUGAGGCGCGAAAGCUAGGGGAGCGAACAGG
RNAcentral lists this ribosomal RNA (253 nucleotides) under uncultured bacterium. RNAcentral's name for it is "partial 16S ribosomal RNA". It matches the Rfam family "Bacterial small subunit ribosomal RNA", at positions 524 to 776 of the family's 1533-position model. The record is from RNAcentral.